Molecule: transfer RNA, 82 nt
Filed under: Saccharomyces cerevisiae YJM270
Lineage: Eukaryota; Fungi; Ascomycota; Saccharomycetes; Saccharomycetales; Saccharomycetaceae
Description: tRNA-Leu
Rfam family: tRNA
About the family: Transfer RNA (tRNA) molecules are approximately 80 nucleotides in length. Their secondary structure includes four short double-helical elements and three loops (D, anti-codon, and T loops).
Source: RNAcentral
GGUUGUUUGGCCGAGCGGUCUAAGGCGCCUGAUUCAAGAUCAGGUAUCGUAAGAUGCAAGAGUUCGAAUCUCUUAGCAACCA